AGCACGUGGAUGCUUUGUGUGGGUUAAGCUAGUUCUUAUUAUUAGACACAGCAGCUAUUGCCUCUGGUGGUCAGUUUAUAGAACAUUAAGAACCAAGGAUAAACACUCUUCUUGUAAAAAGAUAUAUAACUCAUGUUGCUUUAUCUUGCAGCUGUCAGAGAUUCUGGGCUACUAACAUUUAUCCACAGUUUAUUUUAUAAUGCCUUUCAAGAGGACAGAGAUUGUGUAUAUAUUCUAUGUUAUACAUCACUCCUGCAGAACUUGUAUCCCUCUAGCUAGCUAUGGCAGCCCAGCCUAAUUCAGCUUUCUGGUUUGCCUGCCUGCCAUAAAUUGGGGAAAUGGUCAGUUGCCUGGCCCCUGGCAGGUUGCCAUAUUUGGCAGGCGGGCUGUGUUUUGCUGGAUGAACUGCAACUUGUGCAAGGCUAUUAUAGAUGAACAACAACUAACUGAUUCUCCCAAGAGAUGUUCAUUCAUAGACUGGGCUAGGCAACGGUUAUUCAGAGGAUCACUUAGUUGCCGAUUAGCAUACAUUAAUUCCCUUUUUGUUUACAAUGGAUAUACAUCCGAUCACCCCAAAAGACUGCUGAACAUAUGAGUUCAUAUCCUCAUGCAGCAACAUAACUAUUACAGUGCUCUUACAAAGCACUUCUAAGCCACUAGAUUUUGUGAUCAUAAGCCUCAGAUUAUUUACUGUAGUUAGAAUAAGACUGAAGACAGGAAGCCAUAGUCAUAUGAAAUGGGUAAUCAUUACACUAAGUAAAAGAGUCUUGUCUUCUGAUCCCUGCAAUCCUUUCCUUGUUCUUUGCUUUAAUUGUUUAUCAUCUGCCCAUAUAUUUUUUCUUGGCAAUCAUGAGGACUAGAAACAAAGAUAUUUGAGAUUCUCAGUGAUCUGUUUUAAUAGCUGUAUUCUGUCUGCAUUGGAUGCCUUACGUUGCACUUUGCACUGUGAUUUUGGGAAUUAAAAACACUCAGUCAUAACCUGCAUCCAAAGCAUCCCUUAGAGCAACCUAAUUAAUCUUCAUCAAAAAAAAAACAAACAAAAAAAACCCUGCAAGAAAGGUGAGUCUAUGACCUCCACAAACACAUUCUUCCAUUGCUGAACUUAUUUUUAAAAAACAAAAACCCUGCCCCCAGGAUGUCAAAACUCCCAAGAAUAAAUCUGCAUUAAAUCUGUUACCUUGUGGAUGAGGCAUGAAUUUCCAUAGAAAAUCUGCCUGGCUUGCUCAAUUCCAGCAAUGAAAUAAGCGUUCACAGAAACUACACUAACUACAUAUGCAUCAACUAUAGAUAACAAACCAUAAAGUGCAAGCAGUGAAAUAGAAAAAUAGUUUUUGUAUUUAGAAAAUUGCAGUAUGUAUAUACAAGUAUGUUUUUUCUUACAAUAUUUAAUUCAAAAGUUAUAGUAUACCCAUAGAAUUUUAUAAGAUGAUUCUUUUUUCCAGGGAAAUGGGCUUCAGUAAUAGAUAUCAGCCUCCAUUAAAGCUUUCAAGUAUUAAGAGAACACCUUUUUAAAUGGGAAUUGUAUUGCCAAACUUCAGAAGUGUUCUUACUGUGUGCAAGACAGCGAUAAGCAGGCAGAAAUCUGAAAGAAGCAAGAUCUACGGUUAUCUACAAUGUAAUGAUACAUCACUGUAAUCUGACUGUACCAUACUGCUAGACUUAGAGCAUAAGCCUUCAGUAUAAUUAAAAGCAAUACCAUGA
Long non-coding RNA from Hemicordylus capensis (graceful crag lizard), 1701 nucleotides. RefSeq lists it as uncharacterized. The record is from RefSeq and is a predicted model, not a curated record. The transcript is spliced from 2 exons. NCBI's taxonomy places the organism in Eukaryota, Metazoa, Chordata, Lepidosauria, Squamata, Cordylidae.